GAAAUUGAAAAAUAAUCUAAGUAGUGACUUAUUUUGUAAUUUACCUUAAUAAAUAAAUAACACAAGCUUCAGUGGUGAGAAAAAACCCUCAAAUUUGGUGCAGAGUAAUUGAGAUAUACUAGUAUAUUACAUCGGAGGAAUCAAUGGCGAAGAUUGAAGAGCAAGAACCGACAUUGCAGCAGCAUCAAACGAAGAAGAAAACAGCCGCCAAAAGGAGCCACGGAUCCACAUCGUUUUUCGUCUUCGUAGACUACCUUUUCUUGGCCAUUUUCUUCCUCUUCCUCAGCUACAUCGUCUAUAAGAUGGUCGGAUUUUGAUUCAACAAGGUCACUUUUUUUAUGUCCCAUUUCAUUGCUUUUAGUCCUAAUCUUAUGUUUUCUUGUUGUGAUUUACCGUUUCUUGAAAAGUAAUUUUCUGUGUUUUUUAUGUAUGUGUUGAUAGUGUAGGAAAUAGAAUGUUCAAAGUUGUGAUGAAUGUAUUCUUGAAAUAAAAAUUGAAUCUUUAUCUUUGGAGGUUGGAGUUUGUGAAGAAAUUAAUCAAGAGUGAUUUGGGUUAUUUGAGAUUUUUAGAAACCUAGUUAUGCCAAAACUACAAAUUGAAGUAUUUAUGAUUGAUUUGGAUUCUGUUUGUUGGUUGUUGGAGCUGUAAUUUGAGGUUUUACUUUACAUUCCUAUGUUUAAAAUUGAAUGAGAUUUUUCCCAAAAAAAUUGUCAGUUUGUGUGGUGAUAAGGUUGGUUGGCUUACUAUAUUUCAUAUUUGGUAGCUAAGUUAGAUGAUUUUAAUGUGAAAGAUCAAUUCUGAUAGUACUUCUUAGAAUUGCAAAAUGUACUUUAUCAUCCAGCUCUACUCCAUCACCUUAGUCACCAAACGAGAUUACAAGGGCAGAAACGUAACUUUUCAACUCGAACAUCUAGGGUUCCUCCCUUUAGCAGAACUUUUGAGAGGACAGAAUUGAAAGAAUUUGAUUUGAACUAUAAUCUUGUUUCCUGUUUACUGUGAAAGUAGCUUCAGCUGAACUGUUUACUGUUUCGUUGCCAUCCUUUUACGCAGGAUAAUUUAUCACGUGGGAUUUUUACUCCGGUUCAGUUGUCAAGAAGUGAUAUAUUCAUAGAAUGCUAAGAGUGAUAUAUACUCGAAGGGAAUUCCACCGUUGGGUGGUCUUGCUGCGCUGUGUCUUGUGCUAGUAUGAAAAUAUCGGCUUUGAGUUUCUCGUCUUGUUGUUACUUUACAAGCAUUCGCGUGUGAUGAAUUAACUCCGUGUUGUGAUUUCACUGUUUUCCAUCUUCACUAGUGUUGUGACCGAUAAAUAAUUUGAUACUGAUUUUGACAUUUUGUGUUCAUCAUCAGCCAUUUUUGCUACUUGGAAGAGUUUAGCCUUUUGAUUUUCACAUUGCAAGAAUUAUAUUUUAUACGUUGUGGAACGUCAUUAGUCCUUCUUGAUUACACCAGAAAAUCAUACAUUCAACUCUCAGUCUCAGAUCAUAUCUUGAUUCAUCCAUUUUUGGUCAUUUUGAAGAGGACUUUAGUUUCACUUCGAUUUUUCGUAUAUUUUAGUUGUUUCUUGCUCAUAAGUUCUUGCAAUAUCUCUGGUGUUGAGCUGUUUUGGCUAGUUUUUGCUGCAUCUUGUUUCAGGUUAGUGAUAAAUGAGGUUGUUGCUGCUCGUUGUUCGAGUUUUCACCCUCUAAAGCUCGCUGUUGAAACGUACAAGUAGAGGUAGAGAAACACACAAACACACAAACACUUUUUAUGAGCGCAAACAUGGUAGAGCUACAACUUUGAAAACUUAGAAAUAGAAUGCUACAUGCCAUUAUUGCUCAUUUUAUUAAAGCUUAAGGGCUGGAUGGUGUGGGGAUCCCUCCGCUGCUAGGGACGGGCCACGAAUGUGUUGUCUUCGCCGGGGAUGUGGCUGCGGCUCUGGUCGAGCCACCGAGCCCAAGGAUGGAGGUGCCAUUCCCUCCCGGGGCUACGGUGGUGGGAUUGUAUCAAGGACUUUUGGAGCCUUUCUUGGGAGCAUGAAACAGCUGAGGCCUGGGACCCACACCGUGCUGUCGAGGGAAAACUUGGCGUCAUCCGUUAGGACAUCCUGCCCCGCGGCUGCCUCAAGGGCCAGAGACGAGAUGAGGAGGAAGAGGAGGAGGAUGUCAUUGCCUUGGGAUUUUGGUGAAGGAGAUGAGAGAUAUAAAUGUUUUAUUUUAGAGAAUUGGUGAUGAUGGAAGGUUGGAUUUGGAAGGGGUUUUAUAGGUGAUUUUGUUACAUGUUUGGCGGCGAUUAAUGGAACUUAUUUGAGUCUACAUAGAAUGUUUAUAUGCAUGCUUUCUCUGUGAGUGAAAGUGAUAUAUAAAUGCAUAUUCAAUUUUUUUUCCUUAUUCCUAAAAAUGUUCAGAUCUCUCUACUUUCAUCGGUAAAAGUUGAGGCCAUAUAUAUGUACUUGACUAAUGACUACUUUCUUCUAUAAAAGGGGUUUCUACGCUCGUUAUAGAGCCUAAAGUUUUUUUAGGCCCAUAACUUUAACUGUUUUGUAAAUGUAGGAUAAAUUUUUUCGGGCUUGCAAGUUGUAGGACAAUUUUUCAAAAAUUGAGCAUAAGUAGGACAAAUUGAGCCCGAAAAAUCAAUUUGUCCUGCAAUUACAACCCAAAAAUUUUUUGUCCUACGUUUGCAAAAUGACCAAAGUUACUGUCCUAAAAAAAGAGAGAGAAGAAAGAAUUUUUUUAAAAAUUUAAUCUUUAAAUAAAUACUCCUUCCGUACCAUUGAUCUUGUCCCGUAUUUUUUUUUUGUUUGUCCCAUUGAUCUUGUCUCAUUUCUAUAAAUAGUACUCCCCCCGUCCCAAUAAUCUUGUCUCACUUUCCUUUUUGGUUUGUCCCAAUAAUAUUGUCCAAUUUCCUCUUUUGGUAAUAAUUAGAAUAUGUUUAGCAUUCACUUAAUCCAUCUAUAUACCUACUAACCUACCCUCUCUCUCUCCUAAUUAAUCCUCUCACCAGUGAGCUUUCUCUCCAAACGCAUCUCUCCUUCCCUCUGGACUCUCUCUCUCUGCCAGAAACUGGACGGCCGCCUCCUCAACACCACGGCCGACGCCCCUUGUUCUACCUCCUGCUUCAUCUUCUCCGGCCGAACGGUCGGAGCCAGAGCCACCGCCGCCGCCGCCUGUAAGCAGGUUAAAACCCUAACUUUAUUCCUUUUCUUUUUCCUAUUCUCAUUUCUCUUUUAUGUAAAAUUAAAAACUGAAAAUCCUCCCUCUAUUUUGCUCUUUCCAUCGCGCCAUCCGCCGUGCUUCGCCGCUGUUCGUCUGCCCAGGUAACCCCAUGCGCUGCCUCAACAAGCAACGGACGAGCAUUCGGGACGGACGGAGUUGAACGCACCUCCUAUUGGUGAGGAGAAGCCUACCUUCGCGUCGCAUUUCCCUUCUCCCAAGUGCCGCAGCCAACAACAACGAUGCCACUUCUCCUUCACUGAGCCACCUUCCGACGAUGAGUGGGAGAGUGGCUUUUCUGCAGAUCUGAGAAAUUUGAGGUAGAUCUACAGAAAUGUAGUGUUGAAAUUGGGGAGGUGUGAGAUUGCCUUUUUUGUUCUUGUUUUUUUGUAGAAAUUUGUUCUUUCUAUUAUGUUGUUGAAAUUUGUUGAAGAAAUUGUUAGAAUUUGUUGUAGAAAUUGAAGAUUUGUUGAAAUUUGUUGUUCAAAUUUGCAGAAAUCCGUUGCGUAUUUUCUU
RNAcentral lists this long non-coding RNA (3704 nucleotides) under Salvia miltiorrhiza (redroot sage). RNAcentral describes it as "long non-coding RNA (SMIL_LNC004985)". Lineage: Eukaryota; Viridiplantae; Streptophyta; Magnoliopsida; Lamiales; Lamiaceae. The record is from RNAcentral.